This 73-nucleotide transfer RNA is filed under the name Dipodomys ordii (Ord's kangaroo rat). It matches the Rfam family "tRNA". From Rfam's summary of the family: Transfer RNA (tRNA) molecules are approximately 80 nucleotides in length. The record is from Rfam by way of RNAcentral. Lineage: Eukaryota; Metazoa; Chordata; Mammalia; Rodentia; Heteromyidae.
UGAGGUGUGGCUCAGGUGGUAGAGUGCUUGCCUUGCAUGCAGGAGACUCUGGGUUCCAUCCCUAGUAUUAAAA